UACAGAGGAUGCAAGCGUUAUCCGGAAUGAUUGGGCGUAAAGCGUCUGUAGGUGGCUUUUUAAGUCCGCCGUCAAAUCCCAGGGCUCAACUCUGGACAGGCGGUGGAAACUACCAAGCUGGAGUACGGUAGGGGCAGAGGGAAUUUCCGGUGGAGCGAUGAAAUGCGUAGAGAUCGGAAAGAACACCAACGGCGAAAGCGCUCUGCUGGGCUGACACUGACACUGAGAGACGAAAGCUAGGGGAGCGAAUGGG
RNAcentral lists this ribosomal RNA (253 nucleotides) under uncultured bacterium. RNAcentral's name for it is "partial 16S ribosomal RNA". It matches the Rfam family "Bacterial small subunit ribosomal RNA", at positions 524 to 776 of the family's 1533-position model. The record is from RNAcentral.